UCAAAACUCCGAGUCUGAACCGCCUACGUUGCCCUCGUUAAAUAAACAGGGCAAUAAGGUGGCCAGACCGCUCAGCCAAGUGCUGUAAGGGUAGGGGGAGAAAUGCCCCGGCCUCCCAUAUUGGAAAGGUGUUUUAUGUU
RNAcentral lists this non-coding RNA (140 nucleotides) under Candidatus Oceanisphaera merdipullorum. RNAcentral's name for it is "Moco (molybdenum cofactor) riboswitch". It matches the Rfam family "Molybdenum/Tungsten riboswitch aptamer (Moco RNA motif)", at positions 8 to 125 of the family's 135-position model. Lineage: Bacteria; Pseudomonadati; Pseudomonadota; Gammaproteobacteria; Aeromonadales; Aeromonadaceae. The record is from RNAcentral.